GUGCCAGCCGCCGCGGUAAUACGUAGGGGGCAAGCGUUGUCCGGAAUCAUUGGGCGUAAAGAGCGUGUAGGCGGUCCGAUAAGUCCGCUCUGAAAGCCCGGGGCUCAACCCCGGGAGGCGGGCGGAUACUGUCGGGCUAGAGUCCGGAAGAGGCAAGUGGAAUUCCUGGUGUAGCGGUGAAAUGCGCAGAUAUCAGGAGGAACACCGAUGGCGAAGGCAGCUUGCUGGGACGGUACUGACGCUGAGACGCGAAAGCGUGGGGAGCAAACAGGAUUAGAAACCCCCGUAGUCC
RNAcentral lists this ribosomal RNA (292 nucleotides) under uncultured bacterium. RNAcentral describes it as "partial 16S ribosomal RNA". It matches the Rfam family "Bacterial small subunit ribosomal RNA", at positions 505 to 796 of the family's 1533-position model. The record is from RNAcentral.